AAAGAAAUUAAUUAAUUUUCAAAGAAAAAAUAAACAGAGAAGAGACUCAACACUCUGUCCUCUCUCUUCUCCAUCUCGAUCUAUCUGAAGAAAAAGCUUCGAUCCCAAUUUCUCAAACCCUAACCCUAGAUCUCUCCAUUUUCUUUUCAUUUCAAAAUCUAUACACAAUAUUCUCAACCUGUAUCAAUUCGAUUUCUGGUUUAGGUGGCGUGUAGAUAGUUUUAAUUUCGAUUUGCUGAUCCGAUGGCGUGCGUAAAGAUGGUGAACAGAUCGGCUUCGGCGGCCUUCGCGCCGGAGGCACCGUAUCUGGCGGCUGGAACGAUGGCGGGAGCGGUGGAUCUGUCGUUCAGCUCCACUGCUAAUCUCGACAUUUUUGAGGUUGAUUUCGUAUCGGAUGAUCAGCAGCUGAAACUCACAGGUUCGAUUCCGAGUUCAGAGAGGUAUAAUCGGUUGUCUUGGGGGAAAUGUCAGUCCAAUUCGGAGGAGUUCUCGUAUGGAAUCAUUGCUGGUGGGCUUGUUGAUGGAAAUAUUGGACUUUGGAAUCCCAAGCCUCUGAUCUCAAAUGGGUCUGAAGCUAUUGAAAGUGCUCUUGUCGGCAAUCUCUCGAGGCACAAAGGACCUGUUCGCGGGUUGGAGUUUAAUGGGUUUACUCCAAAUCUCCUUGCAUCUGGAGCUGAUGAAGGUGAAAUCUGUAUAUGGGAUAUUGCGAAACCUUCAGAACCUAGCCAUUUCCCUCCCCUUAAAGGUAGUGGAUCAUCAACUCAAGGUGAAAUUUCCUAUGUAUCUUGGAACAACAAGGUUCAGCAUAUAUUGGCGUCUACUUCACUUAAUGGGACAACUGUUGUGUGGGAUUUGAAGAAGCAGAAGCCAGUGAUAAGUUUCACAGAUUCUGUUAGAAGGCGGUGCUCUGUAUUGCAGUGGCAUCCUGAUGUUGCCACGCAGCUCAUCGUUGCUUCCGAUGAAGACGGUUCACCUGCACUUAGGCUGUGGGAUAUGCGGAAUAUACUGUCUCCUGUGAAAGAGUUUGUGGGUCACACUAAAGGUGUCAUUGCAAUGUCUUGGUGUCCCCUUGACAGCUCCUACUUGCUUACUUGUGCCAAAGAUAACCGCACUAUUUGCUGGGAUGUUGUGUCUGGAGAGAUUGUCUCCGAAUUGCCAGCUGGAACCAAUUGGAAUUUUGAUGUGCAUUGGUAUCCGAAGUGUCCAGGGGUGAUCUCAGCAUCAUCAUUUGACGGAAAAAUUGGCAUUUACAACAUCGAGGGGUGUGGUCGAGCUGGCGAUGGAGAGGGUUAUUUUGGCUCAGCUCCCUUACGAGCUCCAAAGUGGUGGUCUAAGAAAAAGUCUGGAGUCUCAUUUGGCUUUGGUGGAAAGCUUGUUUCAUUUGGUUCUGCAGAUGGUCCAACUGGACCGACGGAGGUCCAUGUGCAUAGCAUAGUCACUGAACAAGGUCUGGUAACUCGAUCUUCUGAAUUUGAGACUGCUAUUCAGAAUGGAGAGAAAACCUCGCUGAGGGUUUUCUGUGAAAAGAAAUUCCAAGAGUCAGAAUCUUCAGGCGAAAGGGAAAUAUGGGGCUUCUUGAAGGUUAUGCUUGAAGAGGAUGGGGAUGCAAGGACAAAACUGCUUUCUCAUCUUGGUUUUAGUCUGCCUGUUGAAGAAAAAGAUACUAUGCAGAAUGAUAUAUCUGAGCAAGUAAAUGCCCUUGCCCUUGAUGAGAAUCUUUCAGGUAAAGAAGCUGCAAACAACGAGAACUUAAUGCAUGUGCUGGACAAU
This 1770-nucleotide unclassified non-coding RNA is filed under the name Hevea brasiliensis (rubber tree). Lineage: Eukaryota; Viridiplantae; Streptophyta; Magnoliopsida; Malpighiales; Euphorbiaceae. The record is from RNAcentral.